This 71-nucleotide transfer RNA is filed under the name Sediminispirochaeta smaragdinae DSM 11293. RNAcentral's name for it is "tRNA-Gln (CTG) (tRNA-Gln-CTG-1-1)". It matches the Rfam family "tRNA". From Rfam's summary of the family: Transfer RNA (tRNA) molecules are approximately 80 nucleotides in length. Their secondary structure includes four short double-helical elements and three loops (D, anti-codon, and T loops). Lineage: Bacteria; Pseudomonadati; Spirochaetota; Spirochaetia; Spirochaetales; Spirochaetaceae. The record is from Rfam by way of RNAcentral.
UGGCCGAUAGUGUAAUGGUAGCACAACAGAUUCUGGAUCUGUUUGUGAGGGUUCAAAUCCUUCUCGGCCAG